Molecule: long non-coding RNA, 381 nt
Organism: Tupaia belangeri chinensis (Chinese tree shrew)
Lineage: Eukaryota; Metazoa; Chordata; Mammalia; Scandentia; Tupaiidae
Exons: 3
Source: RefSeq, a predicted model, not a curated record
CGGCGAGACCUUUGUGCCUGGAGUGACUGCGAGCUGCUGACUGCUUACUGCUCCCCGGUGUUGUCCCCACAAUUUACACUGCACCUCGGUCCAGGAGAACAAGUGCAUCUGACGGUCACUGUGGAUUUCCCUGUUCACCAAGGAGGGAGCGUACAGACUGGACUGCCUAUUCAGCAGGGAGUGCUCUGCCGGAGGUCACUGUAUUACCGUAUUCCGACAGCCAUGCGUCCUCGCCUUCUGGUCACUGACAGUGGCCCCUAGAAUUACAACGGAGCCGACACACUCCCGUCCCCUCGUGUAGCCACAGUGGCUUACGUGUGCAGUUUAUGAAGACCACAGUGGGAUGCGGGAGUGCCCAGUCACCACUCAUCGACCCACAGA